This is an RNA transcript of Xenopus laevis (African clawed frog), 6837 nucleotides long. It is a transcript of the gene named activating molecule in BECN1-regulated autophagy protein 1-like, with no coding region annotated. The transcript has 19 exons. NCBI's taxonomy places the organism in Eukaryota, Metazoa, Chordata, Amphibia, Anura, Pipidae. The record is from RefSeq and is a predicted model, not a curated record.
UUUCCUUUUGUAGCCUCGGCGGUGCUUGUUCAGUCCGGGGCGCGGUCGUUUCUCUCACACUCUGGGAUCCAGCGCGGCCCUGACAGGCCUCAUUCCCACGUACGGGCUGGAGCUCCGGCCUUAUCCAGCUGCUUUAUAGGCUUCCAUGAAGUCCGCCUGCUCCUGGAUGUCAGCUCCUGUGUCUAGUUCCAAGAGCUUGCAGUGACGGCACUGGUGGUGACAUGAAGGUAGCUCCUGAGAAGAAUGCAGUCCGGAUCCUGGCUGGACGGGAGAGAGGAUUGCAAGCUCAGGGAGCCCAACGUCUUCUGCAAUGCCUGGUGGAGGAUAAGACCCGGUUUAUGAAAUGGGAGGGCAAGAAGGUGGAGCUUCCCGACAGCCCGCGUUCUACAUUCCUACUGGCAUUCAGCCCAGACAGGACUCUGCUGGCUUCCACCCAUGUAAAUCACAAUAUUUACAUCACAGAGGUUAAGACUGGGCGCUGUAUCCAUUCUCUCGUGGGACAUCGGCGCACUCCAUGGUGUGUGACUUUCCAUCCCACCAUCCCAGGACUCAUUGCGUCAGGGUGCCUCGAUGGCGAGGUUAGAAUUUGGGACUUACAUGGCGGCAGUGAAAGCUGGUUCACGGACAGCAACAAUGCAAUCGCCUCCCUGGCUUUCCACCCCACAGUACAGCUGCUGCUUAUCGCCACCGCCAGCGAGAUUCACUUUUGGGACUGGAGCCGGCGAGAGCCUUUCGCUGUGGUAAAAACGGCCAGUGAAAUGGAACGUGUACGAUUGGUACGAUUUGACCCCCUUGGACAUUAUCUUCUUACUGCUAUCGUAAACCCCUCUAACCAGCAGAGCGAUGAAGAAUCUGAGAUCCCCCUUGACAGUGCAGAGAUUCCCAUAUAUCGCCAGCGUUCCCUGCUGCAGACUCAGCCAGUGCGCAGGACUCCUCUGCUUCACAACUUCCUGCACAUGCUCUCCUCCCGAUCCUCAGGUACCCAGGCAGGAGAGCAGCCACCUGUGCAGGAUUCUGCCACGCCAUCUCCUCCACCCCCUCCACCUCCACCACUGCCUCCCCCAUCAAACGACAGCAACCAGCGGGUUCUAUAUACCCGCAUCCGAGAGCGAGCCCCAGCAGUCAAUACUCCCUGCUGCCAAGACCCCAGUAUGUUGUGCCUCUGCAUCCGCUGCUCCAAUGCACGGCUGUCUUCUCCUCUCUUCCCACACCCAGAAGCACCAGGGGCUCCUUCUACCUCUUCGGGGGCUACUUCCACUUCAUUUUCCCCAGUGCAGACAGAACCCUUGCACUCCUUGGAGCGGCAGCAGCAGCACCAGUCAUCCGCUCAACAUGAUCAUGGUCUUCUGAGCCGCCCUUCUGCCUUCAGCAGCGUUCACAGCAGCACAGCCGGCAACACACUGCGUAACCUGAGCCUGGGACCUACCCGCCGGUCACUAACAGGGCAGCCUUCCCGCUAUCAGCAGCCACCCACUGAUUUGGCUGGUUCUGAAUGGACUCGCACUGUGCUGAGUAUGGGACCUCGGCCAGAGCCGGAACCCAUGCCACCACCCAGGACGAGUGCCUCUUCUGUCAGCCUCUUGUCAGUUCUGCGACAACAGGAAGGAGAAACGUCCUCUUCUGUAUACACCUCAGCAACAGAGGGGAGAGGGUUCUCUAGCUCGGAAUCUGACAGUACUGGGGCUCCCCCACCUGUUCACCCCUCAACCACUCGAACUGACCUUCAGUGUGACCUGAGGCGCUUCUUCCUUGAGUACGACAGGCUUCAUGAUGUGGAGCCGGGAGCACCGGGAACAACACAGGGACAGACUCACGAGAUGCUUAACAACAAUUUAGAACCUGAGCAGCCUGGAACAUCAUCUCAUCAACCCCCACAAGCUCAUGCAGGCGACAGCACCUCCAGCCAGCCCCGUGGACACAUUAAUCGCUGUCGUGCAUGUCACAACCUGCUGACCUUUAACAAUGACACACUGCGCUGGGAAAGGACCCCACCAGCUUAUCCAGAGACAACAGGAACCUCUGCCUGGCAGCCUCCACCCAUUCCUCCCCCAAGCUCUUUCCAGGCUGGUCUCGCCGCUGGCAGCACAGAUCACCCUGGUACGGCCGGGGCGGGGAGAGUGGACCUAGGAAGCAUGACGGCAAGCAGUAGUCGUCUGGAAAAUGGGGCUACACAGGAGGAGAGAACAGUAGGAGUGGUGUAUAACCCAGAGACUGGACACUGGGAACGUGUCUACAGCCAGCCAGCAUCUGUUAGUAGAGCUCCGAAUGUAUCCCAAGAGGCCUUACCACAGGAUCUGCAGGAGGAGAGCACAGAGGAGGACUCUCUCAGAAGGAGGCUUUUGGAGUCUUCAUUGAUCUCUCUGUCCAGAUAUGAUGCCACCGGCUCUCGAGAGCAUCCGAUCUACCCUGACCCAGCCAGGUUGUCUCCAGCCGCCUACUACGCACAAAGGAUGAUCCAGUACCUGUCUCGGAGGGACAGCAUAAGGCAGCGCUCUAUGAGAUACCAGCAGAACCGACUACGCACCUCUGCAGUCUCGUCCUCCAGCGAGGCUCAAGGAGCUGUAGAGGCUGGAGAUUUAGAGUUUGAGGAGUUUGAGGACAACGGGGACCGCUCUCGGCAUAGGACAACCCGAAAUGCUCGAAUGUCCGGCACCCAUCCCUGGGACGCUUUGUACCGAGAUUCCUGCUGCCGGAAUACCUGCCUUACGCUGGCAUUUUCCAUGAGCGCGGUCAGCCGGGACUGGCCACACACUCUUCUGUCAACAGAGUUCUGGCAGGUGCAGUGAUAGGUGAUGGACAGUCUGCGGUGGCCAGUAAUAUUGCAAACACGACUUACAGACUGCAGUGGUGGGACUUCACCAAGUACGACCUGCCCGAAAUCAGCAACGCCUCCAUUAAUGUUCUGGUUCAGAACUGCAAGAUAUACAAUGAUGCUAGUUGUGAUAUCUCUGCGGAUGGGCAACUCCUUGCAGCCUUUAUCCCAAGCAGCCAGCGGGGCUUCCCUGAUGAAGGCAUCUUGGCCGUAUAUUCCCUGGCGCCACACAACUUGGGCGAGAUCCUGUUCACCAAGCGUUUUGGUCCCAAUGCUAUCUCAGUAAGCCUGUCCCCGAUGGGACGAUAUGUCAUGGUUGGUUUGGCCUCCCGUAGGAUUUUGCUUCAUCCUUCCACAGAGCAUAUGGUGGCUCAGGUCUUCCGCCUUCAGAAGCCUCAUGGAGGAGAAACAUCAAUGAGGCGCGUGUUCAAUGUGUUGUACCCGAUGCCUGCCGACCAGAGGCGUCACGUCAGCAUCAACUCUGCCCGUUGGCUGCCCGAGCCGGGCCUGGGAUUGGCGUACGGUACCAACAAGGGAGAUCUGGUGAUUUGUCGGCCAGAGGCAUUUGACAAUGUCUGUGAUCAGUUCUGGGAGCAAAUGAAUGAGGCCAUCCUACAGCAUAACACUCCACGGAGCAGCGAGAGGCCUGGAACCAGUCGUGCUUCUUGGAGAUCAGACAGAGACAUGGGCCUAAUCAAUGCCAUUGGCCUUCAGCCUUGUAAUCCCACCACCUCGGUGACCUCCCAAGGAACCCAGACUCCUGCUCCUCAACUGCAGAAUGCAGAGACACAGACCGAAAGGGAGGUGCCAGAGAGCCGCCCAGCGCCCCCCACUGCUGAGGCAGAGUCCAGCGGCACGGCAGAGACCCCUUCCAGCAGCUUAGAGGGGGCACCGUCUACUGGAGAGUCGCAGGAAGGGAUCCCCUCAUCAUCGGAGGUGCCUGACUCAGGAGAGAGCCAGGAGGAUGCUCUGAGCAGGAUCCAGAGGCUUAUGGCUGAAGGAGGGAUGACGGCCGUGGUGCAGAGAGAGCAGAGCACAACAAUGGCCUCCAUGGGAGGCUUCGGCAACAACAUCAUAGUCAGCCACAGAAUCCACCGUGGCUCCCAGACUGCGUCUGACCCAGCAUCCCGUGCUUCUGCCCCUCGCUCCCCACAACCCUCCACCUCCAGGGAGACUGUAGCAGAGUUAGAACGCCUUCUUGCCCCGCCCCAAACAAGUCCAUUACUCCUCCCCGAGACGCAGUUGCUGACCAAUAACAAUAAUGAGGGUGAAGUCGAUGUGCAGCCUCUUGGCAGUGGCGCCUUUCCUGGGGUGGAGAGGUAGAAACACGGACCUGUGAUCCUGGUACUGCUGUAAAGACUGACCCCCCACCCUGCCUACUACUGCUGGUGGGGAUUUCAAGCUGUGGACAAUGGUGCUAUAGACUUGGAGGGGAAUCCAUUUGCUAACUGACCCUCCAACAUGUCAUGGGAUAAAGCUUACAAUGAGAAAUCUCAUUUUGCCCCCUCUCUCACCCUGUUGCCAACUACUCCAGGGUAGUUAAGUGGAGCCAUGUUCACUGCAAAUGGGGUAAGUGUUCUUGCUCCACCCUGAUUAAUAUAUAUAUAUAUAUUACAAAGUGAGCAAAGAGCCUUAACGAGUAGAGAGAGAGGAGGAUCUAGGGAUUACGCCCCUCUCCUUACUGCCUAGUCUGUGCUUUAUUGGUUCCAAAGGGAGACGGGGAGGGGUAGAUGGCACUAAAUUUCCCUAUGGGUCAGUUUGAUGGCAAGUGCAGGGAGCUGCUAUAAGACUGUUACUGCCCUUCUUGCUUUGGCUGAACUCAAGGAGUGAUGCAUGCACUACAAGAAGGGUGGUGGAGGGGAAGGAAGGGUCUCUCUCUUUCUCUCCGGCGCAUGUGAGUGUGGGUGUCCGGCCUGCCUCUUCUACAACUCCGCUCAGAGGAGCUACAAACUCAGCCUGCUCCCCCCCUGAAUAAUGAAAUUGUAGGCUGUGUGCUGAAUGGGUCAUGUGUCUGUUUCUUUAAGGACGUGAGGUGGUUAUUCUCUUCCGCUGUCCGUAAACCAAUAACCAGCCGCAUCACACGCCUGAGUUCUGUUCAGGUUGCCAAAAUCAGAGAUCCUGCCGCCAGUGAGACUUCUCCUCUGAUUCUCAACUUUCCUUUUUAUGCAGCAGCAGCAGCUCUAUCCUUAUAAGCGUGCAAACCCUCCACCUCCUGCGAAUACGUUUUCAUUGUAUGUAUGAUUAUAUUGGAUGAUAUGUACCCCCCUACCCCCCGUCAUUUGUGUGUACAGGAAUUGUUCCGCCCCCCUCGUGUGAAACUCUUUACCCAAAUGACUUUAUACCUUGCUGAAGGCCAGUAGAGCACCACAUGUGUUAACUCUGAUCAGCUGCUUCUUGUCCCCCCCCCCCUGUGGAUGAACACAAGAGCUUGCGCCCACCCCUGUUGUAUCCUAGACAGUUGGCCGAUUUACCUGGGGAGGUGGAGGGGCUUCUCAGCUGCAGGCGCUCUGCCUCCAUAGUUUCCCGCAGUUGGCCAAUGAACAAUGACAGUAUUAAAGGUAAAUGUUACAGAAGGGCCAGGUUACAAUAAGCUCUUGCUUAUGAAGUUACUAAGUGUGCUGCUCUCCAUUCCCGCUGUCUUAAUAAUCAAGAUACAAGUCCUUUUUAGCCUUGUUUGAUGCUGGCAGUUGCACUUCAACAGCAGCUGAAAGGCCAAAGGUUGGGCCGCCAUCUUGUUCUGCAGCCAUGCAGGGGAAUAGUUGUCCUUAUUUGCAUCAAUUGGACCCCCUCCUAUUAUGAGCCCUGCGUUCGCUCUGCGCUUUCACAUAUUAUGCCUCAUUUUCUGAUUAUCCCCAGGCCUGCUGUACAUGGCACUGCCCCCCUGGUGAAACGAGUGAGGCUCUUGCGCUUGUAUCAGUAGAACUGCAGAACCUCACCCUACUUAGCGGCUUUACUACCUGCAGAUAUUCCAGAGUGUUGCUUUACGACCUGCUGUAUCGUUAGUCUGAGCCGCUCUCAUAUACUCGGCAUCAGUGGGAACUGAGAGGCCAUUGCUCCCGUAUUCCAACCUUCCACAGGCCACGUUGAGUCUCGGAGCAUCACUCCAGCGCCCCCGGUAACAUUCUCACAACCGCAGAGCGUUCCGCCACUAGUCUGCAAUGCUUCGUUGGUUUUUGCUCUUACAGUCUGUGCGACACAUAACUGGGCUGUUGAAGGCACCAUUCCAGUAACCCAUUGUGACUAUUUUAGGGCGACUCCAUUCAUGUAACGAUUUCAGAGCAUUGCUCCAGUAAACCCUGUGACACCAGUUUUACGUUGUGUCGAGCCUCAUUUUGCUGCGGCUGGUGUGUGUGUGUGUUUGCGAGUGUGUGCGUGCGGCUCGCUCUCCUUCGUAUACGUUCAUGUGUCGUUGACUCCACCAUUAUAAUAUUCUCAACUCUUGUCCGAGGUCUUCAGUCCAUGAACACUUAAGCCUCUUUAGAGUCGACACGUCAUGUUGGCCUUUGUCUUGUUUUAAUUGGCACCCUGUUCCUGGCUACUCCUGGGGGGGGGUUGGUUUCUCCUGCUGCCUUUACAACAUCGGUUUGUUACUGGCCUCUCAAGCCUCCGUAAUUGGUCUCAGCCGAGAGAUCUGGCAGAAUGAGGGCAGCCGAGACAGGAGCCUACGACCAGUCUAAAUUAUGAGUCUUCUGACAAUGACAGCAACCAAGUGUCCUGUCUCUUCUGAGUUACUAAUAUACACGCCCAUGUAUCAAGCUCGUUGGCCUGUGUGUGUCGCUCCGUUAAGGAGGCCUCAUUCGUUCUUAGUGAUCCCUACUUAAUGCAGUUGGCUUCCCUGAAAGUCAACUCUCCGCAUUCUCCACCAAUUUUUCAGGUGGAGAAUACAGAGAGUUGUCUAAAAGGGCUGCAAAUUUCCCCACCCUUGCCUCUUGGUUCGUAUACGUGGCCGUCAUUGGUAAUAGGGAGAAAAAACGCCUUGUCCAGUCUUGCUUUUUAUUAUAUAAUAAAAAUGAUCCAAUCGGUGA